GACGAACGCUGGCGGCGUGCUUAACACAUGCAAGUCGAACGGAAAGGCCCUGCUUUUGUGGGGUGCUCGAGUGGCGAACGGGUGAGUAACACGUGAGUAACCUGCCCUUGACUUUGGGAUAACUUCAGGAAACUGGGGCUAAUACCGGAUAGGAGCUCCUGCUGCAUGGUGGGAGUUGGAAAGUUUCGGCGGUUGGGGAUGGACUCGCGGCUUAUCAGCUUGUUGGUGGGGUAGUGGCUUACCAAGGCUUUGACGGGUAGCCGGCCUGAGAGGGUGACCGGCCACAUUGGGACUGAGAUACGGCCCAGACUCCUACGGGAGGCAGCAGUGGGGAAUAUUGCACAAUGGGCGGAAGCCUGAUGCAGCAACCCCGCGUGCGGGAUGACGGCCUUCGGGUUGUAAACCGCUUUCGCCUGUGACGAAGCGUGAGUGACGGUAAUGGGUAAAGAAGCACCGGCUAACUACGUG
Molecule: ribosomal RNA, 468 nt
Filed under: uncultured bacterium
Lineage: Bacteria
Description: partial 16S ribosomal RNA
Rfam family: Bacterial small subunit ribosomal RNA
Source: RNAcentral